Molecule: non-coding RNA, 5295 nt
Organism: Oryctolagus cuniculus (rabbit)
Lineage: Eukaryota; Metazoa; Chordata; Mammalia; Lagomorpha; Leporidae
Source: RefSeq, a predicted model, not a curated record
UUUCAGAAUGCAACUGACAGGUACUAGCCUAUGUUUAUGGGAGGAAAAAAAUCAAUUACCUGAGACAAGGGGCCUAGAUAUCUUGGAAACAUGUCUUGAGAACAACCCAACAUUUGCAGAUCAAAGGCCCUGCCCAAUAUCAUUGUAAGGAAGGUCCCAAGUCUGGUGCCAGGAACCUUUCUGCCCAGUAAUGUAACACCCAGGGAGGAUCCUGCACUUGGGUGUUCUGCCUAGUAAUCUUCCAGAGAUGGGUAGGGAAUAUGGUUGAAAAAAUUUGCCCAUACCCAUACAAACCAUAGUCUAAAUGCGGAUGGGGGCAUAUACACUGACUUUUGGCUGAGCUCCCUUCUUGAUGAGUCAGGUGCACUUCUUCAUCAACCUCACUAGCAGUGCUUGCUGCCAGUCUCUUGUCUCUCCUCUGAAUUCUUGUCGAAUGGGGAGGUAAGGACUCCAUUAUAAAUGUACCUGAACAAAUGCUGUGAAGAGUUGGCCUGUCUUCCUGGGAGAAGUGAGGGAUGAUCCCAGAAGCUUAAAAGGCCUAUUUGCCUGUGAGAAACUCCCCUUUAGACUACCUUGGUGAUGUCACAGCUCUUUCCAUAUUUCAAGGGGAGAAGCAAAUUUUGGAAGUGCUGAGCUUCAACUUCCAGCCUUACUGGCAAUGCCGCUUUCUCUACCUUUGUCAAAACAACACACACACACACACACACACACACAACCAACAAAACACAACUUUGGGCUGAGUUAACAAAUCAAACUCACAUAAGACCACAGUUAGUUUGUUCUGAAUUCCUGGGAUCCUGUAUGUGGGGAGUUCUGAAAGGCUUGUGUUCAAGCAGCCCAGCAUCUGCAACCCCUGGAAAUGUCGUAGGGUGGCUUGUCCAUGUUCUUUUCUUCAGGGCAAGAAAAGAGUUCAAGGAUGAGACUUAGGUAAAGCUUAGCAGAGAAACAAGAUUUAGUUACAUGCAAAGUGAUGCAUGCUCGAGAGAGCUACAUUCUGUAAGGUUCAGGUCCAUCCUUUUCUAUGGCCUGGAGGCCAAAGGGAUGGGCUUGGAGCAGAGCUUCUAAGAGCAGAAAGAGCAUUUUCCUAGAAAUUUUCUCACCUUACACUUUGUUUUUUUUUUUUUCACAGUUGUUAAAAAAUGUAUGAAGUGCCAACUAUUUUGGCUCAAAGAAUUUUGUGAUCUUAGAUGUAGAAGCUAUGGAAAUAGGAAGUAUGGAAACAAAAAUGUCCUAUCGGUGUUGAAUAGUAAGGUAUUAGGUGGGUGGGUGUGUCAAAGUGAGUUUAAAUCUGGGAUAGAGACCACUGAACUAACACACUUCAUUGUAUAACGUUGGGGGCAGUUGUGUACUCCCUUUGAACCAAAACUGCACUAGAUUGUGAACAAAGCUUUGGAGAGAGCAUUUCAGCAUUUUAUUUGCAGAUACUGGCCUACCUACCAAUCAAAACACAACUCCCUUCUAGGCAACCUGGAGACACACAGCUUUGGACCCAAGAAGGUUUGAGUAUAUACAAGGGUAGGGAGACAUAUUAGGGAGAGGUAAACAACCUAGACCUUUAGUUUGGUUCAUAAAGGGUAUGCAGUGAUGGGAAUUCCACCUGAGGGCAAGGGAAAUUAGACCACCACUAGAAGGGCUGCCCUAGAUCAAGGCCACCUUGGAUAACUCAGCUAGAAUUUCUCUGUCUAGGCCUUCGGGAUUGGGAAUCAGGAGAGCAAUUAUGUUCAGAGACUUUCUGGAAAGUAUCAAGUUUCUUUUGAACACAUAAAACAUUCAUACCACUGUGGAACUAGCAGGGAUCACCAUCAGUGACACUCAGUAGUGUGGCCUCUUUCAAGGCUCACACAAAAGCAGUUGAUUAGACAAAUCAUAUUUGCCCAAUGUCUGUGUCAGCAAUGAAGCCUGAAAUGGAAUUCUUGAUUCAGAGAACAGAAUCUUACAAUUUCCCUCCUCUGCAGUGAUUUAACACAUACUCUCUGCUUACAAUAUAGCCAUAGAUAGAAGCUGUUUCCAUUCAUCAUCUCUUUGGCAAUAUCCUUCAUAAGGUGGAUUGAAUUGCUAAACCUGUUUUAUGGAAGAGAUGACAGCUUAGAGAUAAUAGAAAUCUUCAACUCUUUCUCAUCUAUAACAUGUAAAAUUGUGUAAAAAAAUCUGAGACAAAAUUAGGACUCAAAUCCCAGUGUCCAGUGCUUUUUAGCACAGUGUAUACUAGGCAAUGAUCAAGAAAGGAGAGCUGGAUCAAACACUUUAUCAUUCUACAUUAUAAACUGGGGAGAUAAUGUUUGCUGGCUUUUUUUCUCAGAAAUGUCAUAACAGAUUUGAGAUCAUUGUUGUGAAAACUUUAGUAAAUAAGAGCAUGCUAUGGAACAUCUUCGAUGUCCCUCUUUAAAUCCUAGUAACUUUUCAAAAUGAGUUUAUUUGCUCAUGGAAACAAGCACUUUAAAGAUAGUUGAGAAAGCCCUACCUAAAACCACAAUCAACAGUUUCUGGAAUCUAUCUGACAAUGCUUUCUGAAUAGUUUGUUUCUGGGAUGUCUUCUCCUUCGUAAGGAAAAAUAGUGGUCUUAGAUUCAACCAGAACAAAUGGAUGGAGAAUGUCUAGAUGAGUGCUGAUAAUAUGUCUAAAAAUGGAAGUAUGUCCACUCUUCUUGGAUGCAUAUCUUGGUGAUGACGGGCACACACAGCACACGGUAUCCUGGGAGGGCCCAUCACCACUGUUGCCCUCUAUUCCAGAAGUUCCUGGUGUGCUGGCAGUGAGGUCUGGGACGGGAACUGGGCACUCAUGGAUCUCAAAUUGGUAAGUGGAAGCCGCACAUCUACAAACUCUGCCCUUCUGUGAGUCAAAGGCCGAGACACCAUACAGAGAAUGGAUUGGUGGUGAGUACAGAUGAUCUGUCCCUUCAUCAGGUAUCAUCCAUGGGAGCCUACUGUAUUUCACUUGCUGACAUCCCUACCGCUGACUUAAGACUCCUGAGACUAGGACCAUAGAUUCUAGAAAAAAAUAAUAGAAGAUCCUUUUCAGGUACAUAGGUUGGCCCCUUUUCCCAUUCAAACCCUUCCAUUAACAGACAAAGAACCAAAUGUUUAUAUGAGAGUGUGUUGAAACCUUCAGAUGAUUUUGCUGAGACAACUUAUCUGUGUUUGAAAGACUAUUUUGGGCUGGUGCCACAGCUCACUAGGCUAAUCCUCUGCCUGCAGCACUGGCACAUCGGGUUCUAGUCCCGGUAGGGGCACCGGAUUCUGUCCCGGUAGCUCCUCUUCCAGUCCAGCUCUCUGCUGUGUCUCGGGAGUGCAGUGGAGGAUGGCCCAAGUGCUUGGGCCCUGCACCACAUGGGAGACCAGGAGGAAGCACCUGGCUCCUGGCUUCGGAUCGGCACAGCACGCCGGCUGUAGCGGCCAUUUGUGGGGUGAACCAAUGGAAAAGGAAGACCUUUUUCUCUGUCUCUCUCUCACUAACUCUGCCUGUCCAAAAAAAAAAGACUAUUUUGCAUAAAACAAGUUCUUAACCCAAAACUGGGAAGAUGUUAUUUCUUCCCUAAGCUUCCUGGCAGGAGAUCAGCUGAAGGAUUUUAAAUAUCAGCCUUCUGUGAGGUAUUGCCCAAUGUAAAAAUCUGCCCAGGAAUUUAAUAGGGAUGGCCUGAAAUGUAUCUGAAAAGAUUAAUUUUUAAAAUAUAUAUGUAUUAAUUUAUUUGAAAGAACAACAGAGGGAGAGAGGGAGAGGAGGGGGAGAGGGAGAGGAGGGGGAGAGGGAGAGCAGAGAAGAGGAGAAAAAGAGAAGAGAAGGGAAAGGAAGGGAAGGGAAGGGGAGGGGAGGAGAGGGAAGGAGAGUAGAGAAAGAACAAAAGAAAUAUCUUCAACCACGGCUGGUGCUGUGGCGUAGUGGGUAAAACCACUGCCUGCAUGUCAGCAUCCCAUAUGGGCACCAGUUCAAGUCCCAGGUGCUCCUCUUCCCAUCCAGCUCUCUGCUCUGGCCUGGGAAAGCAGUAGAAGAUGGCCCAAGUCCUUGGACCCCUGCACCUGCAUGGGAGACCUGGAAGAAGCUCCUGGCUCCUGGCUCCUGGCUCCUGGCUUUGGAUGAGUGCAGCUCCAGUCAUUGUGGCCAUUUGAGGAGUGAACCAGCAAAUGGAAGACAGACUUUCUCUCUCUCUCUCUCCCACCCCUGUGUAACUCUGCCUUCCAAGUAAAUAAAUAAAUCUUUUAAAAAAAGAAAAAAAAGAAAUAUUUCAACCUUCCGGUUUACUACCCUAAUGUCCAUAACAGCCAGAGGUAGGUCAGGCAGAAGCCAGGAGCCAGGAGCUGCCACACGGGUGGCAGGGGCCCAAGCACUUGGGCUAUCUUCUUCCUUCUCAGGCAUGUUAGUAAGAUGUUGGAUCAUAAGCAGAGCAGCCAGCACUGGAACUGGCAUUCUGAUAUAGGAGUGACAGCUUAAUCUGCUGCACCACAAUACCAGCCUUAAAGAUGAAUUUCAGAAAUAGGAAAAAAGUCUUUUCCUUAUUCCCUCACCUCUCUCUUGCAGUGAUAAUGGACUUCCCUCCUUCAGAGUAUCCAAAGGCUUCUCCACCACCCGGAAUCCUAGAACAGCAACACUGUGGGGAGCAAGCCGGACUGGACUGAGUUACUGGAAUUAAGACUUAUUCUAUGCAUCUGCUCUCCCACAGUAUGGCGCUGGGAGAGGAGUAAACAGCUUCUACCCAGCUGCCUCUCACCAACUUGACAAGCUGCAGGAGCUGCUCCUGAUUGGAGGAGAGCGGCGUACUCGGCGUGUGGGCAGCCGAGUUAGGAUUGGCGGAGGAGGACUAUAAAGGAGGAGAGAGACGGCAUGCACCAGGAACAUCUAAGAGGAACAUCUAAGGGGAACACCUGUGCAGCCCCCGAGAGAGCCGGCCGGCGGUGUGCCGCUCCCCUGUGGAAGUGGGGAAUGUGGCCAGGGGGAACUGCCCUUCCACGGAGGUGGAAGGGAUAGUAGCCAACCCGGGAAGAACCAGCAGCAAACCCGGGGAGGGCCGAGCAGACGAAAGAACAGCGCAGGGUCCUGUGUUGCUCCUCCACGAAGAGGGGGAGCGACACAACACCACUUCUAAGACACAAAAGAACUUCAAGCUUUGCUUCUCAGGUGGUCACACAGUGUCUUCGUUUUCCUUUUCAAGGAGUUGGAGCAUUCUGUACCCAAGAAUACACCUACACAGCUGCUGAGAAAGGGCCUUGGCCUUGCCAUUGGUUUACCUUCACUGCGAGAAUCUGUGAGUUGACCAGAAUUUUUGUUUAUGUUUCACAUUCAUGAUGAUGUAGAAGCCUGCAG